Molecule: ribosomal RNA, 492 nt
Filed under: uncultured bacterium
Lineage: Bacteria
Description: partial 16S ribosomal RNA
Rfam family: Bacterial small subunit ribosomal RNA
Source: RNAcentral
AUUGAACGCUGGCGGUAGGCCUAACACAUGCAAGUCGAACGGCAGCACAGUAAGAGCUUGCUCUUACGGGUGGCGAGUGGCGGACGGGUGAGGAAUACAUCGGAAUCUACUUUUUCGUGGGGGAUAACGUAGGGAAACUUACGCUAAUACCGCAUACGACCUACGGGUGAAAGCAGGGGAUCUUCGGACCUUGCGCGAUUGAAUGAGGCGAUGUCGGAUUAGCUAGUUGGCGGGGUAAAGGCCCACCAAGGCGACGAUCCGUAGCUGGUCUGAGAGGAUGAUCAGUCACACUGGAACUGAGACACGGUCCAGACUCCUACGGGAGGCAGCAGUGGGGAAUAUUGGACAAUGGGCGCAAGCCUGAUCCAGCCAUACCGCGUGGGUGAAGAAGGCCUUCGGGUUGUAAAGCCCUUUUGUUGGGAAAGAAAAGCAGCAGGUUAAUACCCCGCUGUUCUGACGGUACCCAAAGAAUAAGCACCGGCUAACUUCGUG